UACGUAGGGGGCGAGCGUUGUCCGGAUUUACUGGGCGUAAAGAGCGCGUAGGCGGAAAUUUAAGCGUGGCCUGAAAGCCCCCGGCUCAACCGGGGAGUGCGGCUGCGAACUGGGUUUCUUGAGGACGAUAGAGGAGAGUGGAAUUCCUGGUGUAGCGGUGAAAUGCGUAGAUAUCAGGAAGAACACCCGUGGCUAAGGCGGCUCUCUAGUACGGUACUGACGCUGAGACGCGAAAGCGUGGGGAGCGAACAGG
Molecule: ribosomal RNA, 253 nt
Filed under: uncultured bacterium
Lineage: Bacteria
Description: partial 16S ribosomal RNA
Rfam family: Bacterial small subunit ribosomal RNA
Source: RNAcentral